GCGCACGCUGGCGGCGUGCUUAACACCUGCAAGUCGCACGGAAAGGCCCUGCUUUUGUGGGGUGCUCGAGUGGCGAACGGGUGAGUAACACGUGAGUAACCUGCCCUUGACUUUGGGAUAACUUCAGGAAACUGGGGCUAAUACCGGAUAGGAGCUCCUGCUGCAUGGUGGGGGUUGGAAAGUUUCGGCGGUUGGGGAUGGACUCGCGGCUUAUCAGCUUGUUGGUGGGGUAGUGGCUUACCAAGGCUUUGACGGGUAGCCGGCCUGAGAGGGUGACCGGCCACAUUGGGACUGAGAUACGGCCCAGACUCCUACGGGAGGCAGCAGUGGGGAAUAUUGCACAAUGGGCGGAAGCCUGAUGCAGCAACGCCGCGUGCGGGAUGACGGCCUUCGGGUUGUAAACCGCUUUCGCCUGUGACGAAGCGUGAGUGACGGUAAUGGGUAAAGAAGCACCGGCUAACUACGUG
RNAcentral lists this ribosomal RNA (467 nucleotides) under uncultured bacterium. RNAcentral describes it as "partial 16S ribosomal RNA". It matches the Rfam family "Bacterial small subunit ribosomal RNA", at positions 30 to 507 of the family's 1533-position model. The record is from RNAcentral.